RNAcentral lists this ribosomal RNA (253 nucleotides) under uncultured bacterium. Its description in RNAcentral is "partial 16S ribosomal RNA". It matches the Rfam family "Bacterial small subunit ribosomal RNA", at positions 524 to 776 of the family's 1533-position model. The record is from RNAcentral.
UACGUAUGGGGCAAGCGUUAUCCGGAUUUACUGGGUGUAAAGGGAGCGCAGGCGGCCUGGCAAGCCUGAUGUGAAAUACCGGGGCCCAACCCCGGGGCUGCAUUGGGAACUGCCAGGCUGGAGUGCCGGAGAGGCAGGCAGAAUUCCUAGUGUAGCGGUGAAAUGCGUAGAUAUUAGGAGGAACACCAGUGGCGAAGGCGGCCUGCUGGACGGUGACUGACGCUGAGGCUCGAAAGCGUGGGGAGCAAACAGG